RNAcentral lists this transfer RNA (66 nucleotides) under marine eukaryotic metagenome. It matches the Rfam family "tRNA". Rfam says of the family: Transfer RNA (tRNA) molecules are approximately 80 nucleotides in length. Their secondary structure includes four short double-helical elements and three loops (D, anti-codon, and T loops). Further hydrogen bonds mediate the characteristic L-shaped molecular structure. tRNAs have two regions of fundamental functional importance: the anti-codon, which is responsible for specific mRNA codon recognition, and the 3' end, to which the tRNAs corresponding amino acid is attached (by aminoacyl-tRNA synthetases). tRNAs cope with the degeneracy of the genetic code in two manners: having more than one tRNA (with a specific anti-codon) for a particular amino acid; and 'wobble' base-pairing, i.e. permitting non-standard base-pairing at the 3rd anti-codon position. The record is from RNAcentral.
CACGUGGCUCAGUCGGUAGAGCACUUCCUUGGUAAGGAAGAGGUCACCGGUUCAAUUCCGGUCGUG